This is a long non-coding RNA of Homo sapiens (human), 1362 nucleotides long. NCBI's taxonomy places the organism in Eukaryota, Metazoa, Chordata, Mammalia, Primates, Hominidae. The record is from Ensembl.
ACAGGAACUGGCUGCAGCUGCCACUGUCGCCUUGUCAUCCUUGACUUCUCACAUGAUUAAAUUUUAAUUCAAGUCUAUGAAGCGUAAACUUGGUUCAAAUAGCGAGUCUGUGCUGCCACCUGCUGGAAAAUGUGAGAAAAUUGUCUGUUUUAAUGGAAUAGCAGUGAUGUAUGCUGCAUUAAAUAAGAAAACUCAGGAAGAUCCAGACACACGCAGAGGUAAGACCAUUUAAAGAUGGAAAGAAGAUUACUGUCUACAAGACAAGGAAAGAGGCCGUAGAAGAAACCAACCAGGCCAAAACUUUCAUCUCAGACUUCUAGCCUUCAGAACUACUUGCAUCACAAGAAGAAAAGAAGAAAAAAGAGAUGUAACUAUGGGAAAUACUGGAUAUGUUAAUUCACUUGACCUGUAGUAAUCACUUCAUUAUAUAUGUAUACCAAAACAUCUUGCAGUACAACUUAAACAUACAGAAUUUUUUAAAAGACUGCAUCUUCAUGCUUGCUUAAGGACAUAAAUUUUCAGAGAGCACUGUGAGAAAAUAAUCAUGUUCAUGGUGAUGUCUAAUCAUCGCCCAAUGGUGCUCAGUGGCAUUAUAGGAGCUAUGAGUAAUACAAAAAUCAGAAGUAUUCCAAUCACAUUGCAUUUGAAUUCUAUGCUCCAAAUUCAUAAUCCAAUCUCCCAUCCAAAUUACUGUUUGACAGAGAUCAUUAAUUUGAUUUGCCAAUUUUUGAUCUAUUUGGCUUUGGGAAUUCCAAAGCUUAGAAGAAUUUUUCUGCCAACUAUCCACAAAGCCUGCAGUUUGAAUAGAAGAGUGCAAAGCAACAGCAGCAGCAGCAGUAGCUGUAACAGCUAUAAGGCCCAGGAUCACAGCUAUUAAAGUCGGUGGAGUUGCUUGGCGAGCUUUACAGUUUCCAUCUGCUCAACAGAGACGUUCUUCUGAGCCAUCUGACGAACUGGGGGUGCAGGGAUGUUCCGAGGUCUUUUCCUCUUCCUUGGAUUCUGGCUCAUGGCACAGCUUAAGAUGUCUUGUGGGUACCCAGACAGGAAGCUGAUUCUCUCCUGGCCUUUUCCAGGAAUAUAGCCCAUGUUUGACAUUAUUUUUUGAUGAGCUUCACCAUACCAGGGAGAAGGGAUUGAAAUUUCUGUGCCCCAUUGCUGAAGCAGAUCUCUCCCCCAUAAGUUAACAAGAAUCAGUAUAUUUCAAAAAGAAGAGGGAGGUGAAAUGUAAAAGGAAAAUAGAAAUGUGGGACCCCAAUUCAAGAUGCCAAAAGGAAAAAUUAAGCUGAAACUGAGUCAUGCAAGAAGCUGCCUUUCUUUUGGUUCCUAAGCAGAUAGGUACAGAUAAAAGGUUGAAUAUCUUCA